Molecule: non-coding RNA, 619 nt
Organism: Camelina sativa (false flax)
Lineage: Eukaryota; Viridiplantae; Streptophyta; Magnoliopsida; Brassicales; Brassicaceae
Source: RefSeq, a predicted model, not a curated record
UUUAUUAAAAUGUUUUGCUAAUCUUUUAGAAGCAUUUCCAUGUUCUACGUUUUUUUGUUUUCAUCAUGUUGUCUUCUUCUUCUCUCAGGAAAGAAUCGUCAGUUUCAGGGAAGGGAGGAAAUUUUGCCUAAAUCAUCAUCUCUUCUCUAUGUUUCUUUUUAAAUUUGGAAAGGAGGAAAUUAUAACCAAGAGUUGAAGAUGGCUGAUAAGAUUUAUUAAAAUGUUUUGCUAAUCUUUUAGAAGCAUUUCCAUGUUCUACGUUUUUUUGUUUUCAUCAUGUUGUCUUCUUCUUCUCUCAGGAAAGAAUCGUCAGGUUUGAGUAGAUCAGAUUUUACUAAGAAGCGAGAGAGAAACUCACAAUCACGGAAAUAUGUCCAUUGGUCAGCUAACGAAUGACGGCAACUGCCGCUGAGGAUUUUGCCGUUAAUCUCGGCAUAAAGUUGAUGCCUUAAUUUCCCACUACCUUUUUCACCGGGAGUCAUCACAACCAAAAAGCAUCAUUUUCAUCGGGAAUCGAACUAGUGAGUGGAUCCAACUCCUGCAGUGGGCAUUGGUAGCUCUCUCAUAUUCAACACAGUCAAACAAGAUUUUCACUAAAGCAAAAAAAAAAAAAAAAAAA